GCGGGCGUGGCGGAAUGGCAGACGCGCCAGAUUUAGGAUCUGGUGCCGCAAGGCGUAAGAGUUCGAGUCUCUUCGUCCGCACCA
RNAcentral lists this transfer RNA (84 nucleotides) under Eubacteriales bacterium. RNAcentral describes it as "tRNA-Leu". It matches the Rfam family "tRNA". Rfam says of the family: Transfer RNA (tRNA) molecules are approximately 80 nucleotides in length. Lineage: Bacteria; Bacillati; Bacillota; Clostridia; Eubacteriales. The record is from RNAcentral.